This 253-nucleotide ribosomal RNA is filed under the name uncultured bacterium. RNAcentral's name for it is "partial 16S ribosomal RNA". It matches the Rfam family "Bacterial small subunit ribosomal RNA", at positions 524 to 776 of the family's 1533-position model. The record is from RNAcentral.
UACGGAGGGUGCAAGCGUUAAUCGGAAUUACUGGGCGUAAAGCGUGCGUAGGCGGUUCGUUAAGUCUGUUGUGAAAGCCCCGGGCUCAACCUGGGAAUGGCAAUGGAUACUGGCGAGCUAGAGUGCGGUAGAGGAGAGUGGAAUUCCCGGUGUAGCAGUGAAAUGCGUAGAGAUCGGGAGGAACAUCAGUUGCGAAGGCGGCUCUCUGGACCAGCACUGACACUGAGGCACGAAAGCGUGGGGAGCAAACAGG